UACGUAGGUGGCUAGCGUUGUCCGGAUUUACUGGGUGUAAAGAGCGCGCAGGCGGUCGUUCAAGUCGAGUGUGAAAGCCCCCGGCUCAACUGGGGAGGGUCACUCGAUACUGAUCGACUCGAAGGCAGGAGAGGGAAGCGGAAUUCCCGGUGUAGUGGUGAAAUGCGUAGAUAUCGGGAGGAACACCAGUGGCGAAGGCGGCUUUCUGGCCUGCUCUUGACGCUGAGGCGCGAAAGCUAGGGUAGCAAACGGG
RNAcentral lists this ribosomal RNA (253 nucleotides) under uncultured bacterium. RNAcentral describes it as "partial 16S ribosomal RNA". It matches the Rfam family "Bacterial small subunit ribosomal RNA", at positions 524 to 776 of the family's 1533-position model. The record is from RNAcentral.